GACGAACGCUGGCGGCGUGCUUAACACAUGCAAGUCGAACGGAAAGGCCCCUUUUGGGGUACUCGAGUGGCGAACGGGUGAGUAACACGUGAGUAACCUGCCCUUGACUUCGGGAUAACUUCAGGAAACUGGGGCUAAUACCGGAUAGGAAUCCUUGCUGCAUGGUGGGGGUUGGAAAGCUUCGGCGGGUUUGGAUGGACUCGCGGCUUAUCAGCUUGUUGGUGGGGUAGUGGCUUACCAAGGCUUUGACGGGUAGCCGGCCUGAGAGGGCGACCGGCCACAUUGGGACUGAGAUACGGCCCAGACUCCUACGGGAGGCAGCAGUGGGGAAUAUUGCACCAUGGGCGGAAGCCUGAUGCAGCAACGCCGCGUGCGGGAUGACGGCCUUCGGGUUGUAAACCGCUUUCAGCAGGGGCGAAGCUUGUGGUGACGGUACCUGCAGAAGAAGCACCGGCUAACUACGUG
This 465-nucleotide ribosomal RNA is filed under the name uncultured bacterium. RNAcentral describes it as "partial 16S ribosomal RNA". It matches the Rfam family "Bacterial small subunit ribosomal RNA", at positions 28 to 507 of the family's 1533-position model. The record is from RNAcentral.